RNAcentral lists this ribosomal RNA (433 nucleotides) under uncultured bacterium. Its description in RNAcentral is "partial 16S ribosomal RNA". It matches the Rfam family "Bacterial small subunit ribosomal RNA", at positions 28 to 507 of the family's 1533-position model. The record is from RNAcentral.
GACGAACGCUGGCGGCAGGCCUAACACAUGCAAGUCGAGCGAGGACUUCGGUCCUAGCGGCGGACGGGUGAGUAACGCGUGGGAACGUGCCCUUUGCUUCGGAAUAGCCCUGGGAAACUGGGAGUAAUACCGGAUGAGCCCUUUGGGGGAAAGAUUUAUCGGCGAAGGAUCGGCCCGCGUUGGAUUAGGUAGUUGGUGGGGUAAUGGCCUACCAAGCCGACGAUCCAUAGCUGGUUUGAGAGGAUGAUCAGCCACACUGGGACUGAGACACGGCCCAGACUCCUACGGGAGGCAGCAGUGGGGAAUCUUAGACAAUGGGGGAAACCCUGAUCUAGCCAUGCCGCGUGAACGAUGAAGGCCUUAGGGUUGUAAAGCUCUUUCAGCUGGGAAGAUAAUGACGGUACCAGCAGAAGAAGCCCCGGCUAACUCCGUG